This is a long non-coding RNA of Brassica oleracea var. oleracea, 1403 nucleotides long. RefSeq lists it as uncharacterized. The record is from RefSeq and is a predicted model, not a curated record. The transcript is spliced from 5 exons. Lineage: Eukaryota; Viridiplantae; Streptophyta; Magnoliopsida; Brassicales; Brassicaceae.
CUGUUAUACUAAUUUUAACUAGGCUUUUAAGUUGUAGCCCGGUUUAACCAUAAUCCUUUUCAUCUCUUAGAAACUGUAGGCCUACCGAUUCUCUUUCACCUUCUCCGGCGAUGUAACGAUGUAGUUAUGACCUUCAAUCACGUUAUCCCACUAAACUCACAACCACCCCUCUUCAUUGCUUCUUUAAUUACACAUUUUAAAGCUUAAUUUUGUGUAUAUCUACACCUUCUGAGAGCCCCCUGCAAUUCCCUUACUUUCAUAAAACCUAAAAAUAUAUCGCUCAUGUUCUCUUUUAAUGGACGAUAGUUGGCAAUUUCUCAGUUUUAUUUCUCUGAUUUGAGUCAGGCGGCUAUAAACAGUCAGUUCAGGCAAGAUUCGUAUGUGUUUCUCGGAAGCCAAUAAAGUAAUGAAAAGAGGAUAGACAAAUCCAGAAAUCAAUUAAUGUGCAACUAUUCAACACCUUAAAAAAAAUGAAGUAUCUAGCUUAAUGUUUUGUAUUUCAUAUGAAGAAGCAACCCUUACUUCCGGUUUGGAGAAAUCCAUGUUUCUAUUAGAUUUACGGAGCAAACCGUGUUUGUUGAGGUCGCUGAAACCGAUUCCCGUGGAGAGUUUUGGGUUUUGCAAUUACGAACAUCUUAUGGUAUUGGCCAACACAAACACAGAUUUUUUUUCUAGGCCGCCUUUUCCUCAAUGCAACCUCCGGAAUACAUUUCUACUUUUACCAAGAAAGUGUAAUCAGCCAGAGCUUUCUGCAAGACUAAGUUUUGUGGAUCUGACAUUGGUAGCUCCUCCACUCCUUCCAAGUAUGGCGGUGUACAGAAAAUUGAGUUAGCAACAAUUGUGGAGUUUAUUGUCUGUGUCGUGAAUUCACCACCUCAGGCGGUACGAUAGAAUUCCACUGCACUGGCCAAGUCGAUGACAGUGAGAAAACUGAUGGACCAAUGCUUCAUCAUCAAAGCUUUGCUUACAAGGAGGUGGUGACUACCCUGGAAAUAAUAUUCUGGAUGUUGUGACUCUCACUAUUAACCCUCUCAUGUGAUGAGGAGCAGUGGUUCACAUAAUACCACAUGAAGUAACACUGCUCCAAUUUUUGAAGGAAGCAUGGCUGAGUCAACAGUACUACCUGCUCAACCUGAUGCAUUUUUAGCACCGGAAAAGAUACCACAGAGCCUGAGAUCUCCAACCAUAGAGAUCCAUGACAAUAUUAAUAUAGGUGAAGAACCAAUUCCACACUGAACGUGCUAAGUUUGAGUCAAUAAUUUUUCUACAUUAUAUAGAUUGUCGUCUUUUUAGUUUGCUUGGUUAUAUUCUUAUAUCAUAUAUGAAUACGUUGAUCUCAUUACUGUAGGAAUCUUUUACGGCUCUAGCUAUUACAUAUUCCUAAAAUUGUUUAAUUUUUUUAA